AUUGAACGCUGGCGGCAGGCCUAACACAUGCAAGUCGAGCGGCAGCAGAAAGUAGGUUUCUUCUUUCCGGGGGAGCGGGGGGCGGGUGUGUAAUGUAUGGGAAACUGCCUGUUUGAGGGGGAUAUCAACUGGAAACGCUUACUAUAAUCGCACAUACUCGCAAGGGGAAAGAGCGGGGGAUCUUGGGCUCUUGCCCUCAUGUGUGCCCAGAUGUGGGAUUAGCUAGUUGGGGGGGUAAGGGCUCACCGAGGCGACGAUCCGUAGCUGGUCUGAGAGGAUGAUCAGCCACACUGGAACUGAGACACGGUCCAGACUCCUACGGGAGGCAGCAGUGGGGAAUAUUGGACAAUGGGCGCAAGCCUGAUGCAGCCAUGCCGCGUGGAUGAAGAAGGCCUUCGGGUUGUAAAGUACUUUCAGCGGGGAGGAAGGGGUGGAGGUUAAUAACCUCAGCAAUUGACGUUACCCGAAGAAGAAGCACCGGCUAACUCCGUG
This 492-nucleotide ribosomal RNA is filed under the name uncultured bacterium. Its description in RNAcentral is "partial 16S ribosomal RNA". It matches the Rfam family "Bacterial small subunit ribosomal RNA", at positions 30 to 507 of the family's 1533-position model. The record is from RNAcentral.